This 307-nucleotide ribosomal RNA is filed under the name uncultured bacterium. RNAcentral's name for it is "bacterial SSU rRNA". It matches the Rfam family "Bacterial small subunit ribosomal RNA", at positions 28 to 334 of the family's 1533-position model. The record is from RNAcentral.
GAUGAACGCUAGCGGCAGGCCUAAUACAUGCAAGUCGAACGGUAAGGCUCACUUCGGUGAGUACACGAGUGGCGCACGGGUGCGUAACGCGUAUGCAACCUACCCUACAGAGGAGGAUACCCAGUGGAAACGCUGAAUAAUACUCCAUAUACUCACAGUAUUGCAUAAUACAAUGAGGAAAACUCCGGUGCUGUAGGAUGGGCAUGCGUGACAUUAGUUAGUUGGCGAGGUAACGGCUCACCAAGACGACGAUGUCUAGCUGGUCUGAGAGGAUGAUCAGCCACACUGGGACUGAGACACGGCCCAG